Molecule: ribosomal RNA, 496 nt
Filed under: uncultured bacterium
Lineage: Bacteria
Description: partial 16S ribosomal RNA
Rfam family: Bacterial small subunit ribosomal RNA
Source: RNAcentral
AUGAACGCUGGCGGCGUGCCUAAUACAUGCCAGUCGAGCGAACAGAUGAGGAGCUUGCUCCUCUGACGUUAGCGGCGGACGGGUGAGUAACACGUGGAUAACCUACCUAUAAGACUGGGAUAACUUCGGGAAACCGGAGCUAAUACCGGAUAAUAUAUUGAACCGCAUGGUUCAAUAGUGAAAGACGGUUUUGCUGUCACUUAUAGAUGGAUCCGCGCCGCAUUAGCUAGUUGGUAAGGUAACGGCUUACCAAGGCAACGAUGCGUAGCCGACCUGAGGGGGUGAUCGGCCACACUGGAACUGAGACACGGUCCAGACUCCUACGGGAGGCAGCAGUAGGGAAUCUUCCGCAAUGGGCGAAAGCCUGACGGAGCAACGCCGCGUGAGUGAUGAAGGUCUUCGGAUCGUAAAACUCUGUUAUUAGGGAAGAACAAAUGUGUAAGUAACUAUGCACGUCUUGACGGUACCUAAUCAGAAAGCCACGGCUAACUACGUG